RNAcentral lists this long non-coding RNA (1009 nucleotides) under Monodelphis domestica (gray short-tailed opossum). RNAcentral describes it as "lncRNA (ENSMODG00000039890.1)". The record is from RNAcentral. Lineage: Eukaryota; Metazoa; Chordata; Mammalia; Didelphimorphia; Didelphidae.
CUUCAAUUUCUUUUUCUUCUCUAAUUGCUGCAGCUAAAGUUUCUAGUACAAUGUUAAAUAAUAGAGGUGGUCUUAUUGGGAAGGCUUCUAGUUUGUCCCCAUUGCAGAUGAUGAUGUUCCCUGGUACUGUGUAUACUUGGCAUUCCCACUUUUCUGUCAUUCCUGGUCUUUACUCAAUCUUUUUUGUUGCCUCCCUCCUCUUUCCUAGUACCAGGACAGAGAUUCCUUGAAUUAAUAAUAAUGACAGAAGAAUUCAUUUUUCUGAGAUGGAGAAAACCUUACCAAAGAUGUAUAGGGAAUGCCAAUGCUGAUUAUUCUCAUUUUUAAAAUAAGGAAACUUGAGUCUGAAAGAGGUUAAUAGGCAAGAAAGGCAGAGGCAUAGAUGAGAGAAUAGCAAAAAACCAGGGAUGAAGGGAGCCCUGGUGACAAAAAGGACACGGGAUUCUCUCUGUGGUCAAGGAGAUGGCAGUGAGAGGGGUAAAUUCACUCACUUACCCAUGGUCCUCUUUGGAGAGUGCAGUGCCAAGGGUGACAAGCCUCACCUGGCUGAGAGUGGUUUGUUUGGGCCCCAUUGUCAUAGCAACAAGGGAAGGUUUGGUAACAGAGCCAGUGACUUCACAGAAGCUGGUCUUAAUUCCACAUUUCUGAAGCUCAGGGAAGAGCAGAGCCAGCCAGGAGAGAACUUGGAGGAAGAGGAAGACAAUAGAUUCCUUGGAAGAGCUCAAAGCAGGUAGAGAAAUUGAAGAAGACGAAAGAGAAGUCUUCAACCAAAGGCCCGAGGAAUGCACCCAAGGAAAAACCAGGUCAGAAGGGGCCAUAGACCAAAAGGGUAAGAACAAGAGAGAGGUGAGGGCCAGGAGAGCUGGUCAGAGGCGUGAAUGGUUGGCUGAACGCUUUGAAUGGGAAACUCAAGUUGGAGUGUGAGAGCCUCAGUGUUCACUUGAGGGUCUGAGUAACUGCUUUAAAUUUACUAAAAUAGAGAAAGUUUCUUCAUGAAUUGAGAUGCCAU